This 1318-nucleotide long non-coding RNA is filed under the name Medicago truncatula (barrel medic). RNAcentral describes it as "long non-coding RNA (MTRU_LNC007048)". The record is from RNAcentral. Lineage: Eukaryota; Viridiplantae; Streptophyta; Magnoliopsida; Fabales; Fabaceae.
CAAGUAUCAUAAUACAUAAACCAUAUGGCCUCGACAUAAAUCUCAAAAUAAAUAACAUAUAAUUAUGACAAUCUUACUAGAAGCUUAUACAAGACUCCAUGCAAUAAAGAAAAACGAGGAAUGCACCAUGCAAACUCGGGUACUCACGUCUCCACGAACAAUCUCAAGCUGGACGUCUACACCGUUUUUAGAAAUGGUGAGGCGGUCAACCAAACGACCACUCGGGGGUUGGAUAACAUUCACAUAAAAAAUAUAUAAACAUAAAUAUAGCAUUCUAGGAUUCAAGUAAAUCAUGAAUAUAUACAAAUUCAUCAUUCCUAGAAUACUAGCUUCACAUGAAUAUCAUCUUCAAUAAAUCAUAACCUCAUCAACAAGUCAUCACAUUAUCCACAAUUCCAUAACAUCAUCUUAAGUGUACAGAUAUCAUCAAUCAAUUAUAUAGAGUACACAACAUCACAUCAUACACAUAAUUCACCAAAGUCACAUAAUCAAGUAUUAGACAUUUCACAUAAGUUAUAUGCAUGUAAUGUCCUAAACACACCUCUACAUGCAUGUGAUACCAUUUGGAUAUCAUAUAUAAUUUUACCGAGAGAUCUGCCAUCGUUAAUAACCAUCAACAACAACCAUCGACAAUAGGACUUGAUCGUCAAUGCAUGAACAUAUGAGUCGACAUUGAAUAUAUCCAUACACUAUAACACAAGUCAUCAACAAUCAUCAACAAUUUCCAUCGACAAUAUUCAUCACCAAUAAUCAUCAACAAUGUCCAUUAACAUUUCCAUCAACAAUAUUCUUCAACGAUAUUCAUCACCAUUAUAUACAUAUAUACAUCACCAAGUCAUACAUAUGCAUAUACACACCAUCAUGAAUUUAUUAUCAUCAAUAAAUAAUCUUCACCAAAUUUAUCAUCAAUUCAAUCAUUAAAUAUCACUUAAACAAUAGGUAACCAUCAUUUACAAGUUAACCAGCAUAAAUCAUCAUUUAACAAAGUCCGUCUAUUUUUCUCCAAAGUUCGUCUAUUUUUCACUUUCACACAAUUCAUCAUAUCUCAUGCAUAUUAGUCAUCAAAUCAAUCAUAAUCCAACAUAUUAUCAUGAGCAAAAAGUUAAUUUCAAGCUAACAAGUCAUAUUUCAACAUUUCACCAAAGUUCGUCUAUAAAUUCCAAAGUUCGUCUAUUUUGACAUUUUUCAUCAAAACCAAGUUACAUGCCCUUAUAGUUCUUCAUCAAUCCUACAUGCUUCACCUAAGUUCAUCAUUACAGAAAACCAAUCAUAAAAUCAUCAUUUCACUUAAGAAAAAUUAUCAUUCGAAUAUUUCAAG